This 233-nucleotide long non-coding RNA is filed under the name Trifolium pratense (red clover). Its description in RNAcentral is "long non-coding RNA (TPRA_LNC002777)". The record is from RNAcentral. Lineage: Eukaryota; Viridiplantae; Streptophyta; Magnoliopsida; Fabales; Fabaceae.
AUGUAGUAUUUUAAGGGUUUCGUGUCUUUAAGCCACUCUCUAGGAGAGUUGGUGUAAAGUGAACCACUCGAGUUGUGAGAUGGUCACCGUGUCCUCACUCAGAAACUUGUAGGUAAUGAGUUGAGUAUUGUAAUUGGAGGAAGCUUUUAAGCAACUCCAAAUUGUGAACUUAGUCGUUGGCUAGGUGGUGAUGUUAUUGAAGUGUGUCUUCAUCUUUGUCAAGGAGAGUGUCU